Molecule: long non-coding RNA, 193 nt
Organism: Astyanax mexicanus (Mexican tetra)
Lineage: Eukaryota; Metazoa; Chordata; Actinopteri; Characiformes; Acestrorhamphidae
Exons: 2
Source: RefSeq, a predicted model, not a curated record
GGACUUUUUUGGUAAUUUAUUUUAGUUUGUCUAGUUUUAAUGACAUCAUCACUAGUAGCCUGUUAGUGAGUACAGUGAAGCAAGCAUGGUUGUACCUGCCGAAUAAUCCUGUUCCAUCUACCAUCUGCUCAAGCUCUUUUCAAGCAUCGUUGUUUUACCUUUUCUCAACUUGCUACAUUAAACAAGUAAACUA